GGAAUCUUCCACAAUGGACGAAAGUCUGAUGGAGCAACGCCGCGUGAGUGAAGGAGGGUUUCGGCUCGUAAAACUCUGUUGUUAAAGAAGAACAUAUCUGAGAGUAACUGUUCAGGUAUUGACGGUAUUUAACCAGAAAGCCACGGCUAACUACGUGCUAG
RNAcentral lists this ribosomal RNA (161 nucleotides) under uncultured bacterium. RNAcentral describes it as "partial 16S ribosomal RNA". It matches the Rfam family "Bacterial small subunit ribosomal RNA", at positions 358 to 511 of the family's 1533-position model. The record is from RNAcentral.